AUGGCUGCCAAGAUCACCUCAUGCUUUGUUUUCCUAAAGGAAGCGCUGAUCCUUCCCACGCUAAACCCCAAGUUGUUCGCCCCCGUGGUCCUCCUCUUUGCCGUCACCGCCUUCCUUGACUCCUUGGUCGAUGACGUCUUCUUCCAGCCUCUCGUCGACGACAUGGGCAGCCGUCUCAUCGCGGUCAACAACACCGACACCUUGAGCGCCGCCGAGUACAGCAAGCUCACGGAGGAGACAGAGCCAGGCGGUACAAAGCUCAUCCUCAUCACCUUCUCCGAGGUGAUCGUCAACCUGGCGGUCGGCUACGUCAAGCAGAUCCUCGCCCUCUUCGCGGCCUCCACGACCUACUCCGGCGACCGCUACUCGCUGGCCGAGCUCCUGCGCCCGUUGGUCAACGGGAGGAUCAGCCUGAAGGGCCCUUCCGUCACCAUCGCCGUCGUCGGGGCCGUUGACUUCGCAUUGGCGGUCCCGUACGCGCUGCCUCAUUACGUGAUGCACGGCCGCUCGGGGGUGCUCUCCGUCCAGGGUCUCGUCUCCCACCUCGCGAACCUCGGCUCCCUCUGCUUCACCGUCGUCGCGCUGGUGGGCGUCGCCGCAUCGGCAGUCGACAGGAAGUGCCGCGGCGUGCGCGCGCUCCGGCAGGCGUGGCGGCUCGUGACGCGUGUCAGGAGGAAGGAGGGACUCGUGCUGGUGCUCGUGGCAUACCUCGGGCCUACCGUUGUGGCUCCACUGCACGGGUUCGCUCUUGGGUAUGCCAAGAAGAGCACGGCGGCGUGCUUGUGCUUGCUGGCGGUGUGUGCUCUUCUUUCUGGCGCGCAGGAGCUGUUCUCUUUGGCGGCGGCCACGGUGUACUACUACCAAGCCAUGGAGAGCAAGGAGGUGAUCGAUGCCUUGUGGUUAUGCUAA
RNAcentral lists this ribosomal RNA (909 nucleotides) under Triticum aestivum (bread wheat). RNAcentral's name for it is "partial small subunit ribosomal RNA". The record is from RNAcentral. Lineage: Eukaryota; Viridiplantae; Streptophyta; Magnoliopsida; Poales; Poaceae.